UUCGUAUUUGUUUUGUCAACUCUAGUGAGCUUUGUUUGAAUUGACCUUGCCUCCCUUCAUCAGGCUCAAUGGCUUCCAGGGAGUAAUAAUGUUGGGGGAUCUGUAUGUUUACCUUUCCAUUGGGAACUCAGCCUCCUCAUUCACUAUUUUCCUAUGAUAUAACCGCCCAAGGUUUCAUUUAAUACUAAGAAAUGAUCCUAUUUCAGAGUGAACCCCCAAACUGGUUCCUAAUGAAUGUGCUUAUUGUUCUUCCCUCUUAGAGAUAUCUAGCCUUUGUCUUUAGCCAUAACGCUCACCUCUACAUAAGGGCAAUUGGUUGAAUCUCCAUCUCACUGCUCGCUCCCUGAUAAGGCAUCGAGAGCAAGGAAGCUGCCAUGAUGACUCUGAUUCAACUGAAGUCAAUUAAACACUGAACCAAUCUAUCUAAAGAUCUUGGUAUUGGAAGCAGGCUUUAAGGACUGAGAAUGGGAAAGGAACUAGCUUCAUUUGAGUUAAGGCUUCACUCCUGAUUCUCUAGACUUCUUUAUCCACCAUCUGCAGCAGCCAUUUCAUCCUGGAAGACUACUUGCACCCUGAACGCUGUGUUGAUUGGACAUUUUCUCCCAGAAUUUUACUAUUUUGUUCUCCAGAUCAUUUCACAGAUAAAGCAACUGGGACAAGCAGUGACUUGCACAAAGUCACAAAGCUAGCAAGUGACCAAAG
This 702-nucleotide long non-coding RNA is filed under the name Monodelphis domestica (gray short-tailed opossum). RNAcentral describes it as "lncRNA (ENSMODG00000037816.1)". Lineage: Eukaryota; Metazoa; Chordata; Mammalia; Didelphimorphia; Didelphidae. The record is from RNAcentral.